UACGAACCGGACAAACGUUAUUCGGAAUUAUUGGGCUUAAAGGGUGCGUAGGCGGUGUGGUAAGUGAGGUGUGAAAUCCCUCGGCUCAACCGAGGAAUUGCGCUUCAUACUGCCAUGCUAGAGGGAGACAGGGGUAAGCGGAACUGAUGGUGGAGCGGUGAAAUGCGUUGAUAUCAUCAGGAACACCGGUGGCGAAAGCGGCUUACUGGGUCUUCUCUGACGCUGAGGCACGAAAGCUAGGGUAGCGAACGGG
This 253-nucleotide ribosomal RNA is filed under the name uncultured bacterium. RNAcentral describes it as "partial 16S ribosomal RNA". It matches the Rfam family "Bacterial small subunit ribosomal RNA", at positions 524 to 776 of the family's 1533-position model. The record is from RNAcentral.